GUCGGGCAUGGUGGUGCGUGCCUGUAGUCCCAGCUAUUUGGGAGGCUGAGGCAGAGAAUCGCUUGAACCCAGGAGGCCAAGGUUGCAGUGAGCCAAGAUUGUGCCACUGCACUCCAGCCUGGGUAACAGAGUGAGACUCUGUCUCAA
Unclassified non-coding RNA from Macaca fascicularis (crab-eating macaque), 147 nucleotides. It matches the Rfam family "Metazoan signal recognition particle RNA". Rfam says of the family: The signal recognition particle (SRP) is a universally conserved ribonucleoprotein. It is involved in the co-translational targeting of proteins to membranes. The record is from Ensembl. NCBI's taxonomy places the organism in Eukaryota, Metazoa, Chordata, Mammalia, Primates, Cercopithecidae.